RNAcentral lists this ribosomal RNA (466 nucleotides) under uncultured bacterium. RNAcentral describes it as "partial 16S ribosomal RNA". It matches the Rfam family "Bacterial small subunit ribosomal RNA", at positions 28 to 507 of the family's 1533-position model. The record is from RNAcentral.
GAUGAACGCUGGCGGCGUGCUUAACACAUGCAAGUCCAACGAUGAAGCCCAGCUUGCUGGGUGGAUUAGUGGCGAACGGGUGAGUAACACGUGAGUAACCUGCCCUUAACUCUGGGAUAAGCCUGGGAAACUGGGUCUAAUACCGGAUAGGAGCGCCUACCGCAUGGUGGGUGUUGGAAAGAUUUAUCGGUUUUGGAUGGACUCGCGGCCUAUCAGCUUGUUGGUGAGGUAAUGGCUCACCAAGGCGACGACGGGUAGCCGGCCUGAGAGGGUGACCGGCCACACUGGGACUGAGACACGGCCCAGACUCCUACGGGAGGCAGCAGUGGGGAAUAUUGCACAAUGGGCGAAAGCCUGAUGCAGCGACGCCGCGUGAGGGAUGACGGCCUUCGGGUUGUAAACCUCUUUCAGUAGGGAAGAAGCGAAAGUGACGGUACCUGCAGAAGAAGCACCGGCUAACUACGUG